AAGAUACUAGUAAAAUCUGUAUUACAAUGCCUUGUCAAGGCAUAAUUGUAGGUUAGAACCCUGCGUCUCUUG
RNAcentral lists this transfer RNA (72 nucleotides) under Diplospinus multistriatus (striped escolar). RNAcentral's name for it is "tRNA-Asp". It matches the Rfam family "tRNA". From Rfam's summary of the family: Transfer RNA (tRNA) molecules are approximately 80 nucleotides in length. Their secondary structure includes four short double-helical elements and three loops (D, anti-codon, and T loops). The record is from RNAcentral. Lineage: Eukaryota; Metazoa; Chordata; Actinopteri; Scombriformes; Gempylidae.